This 71-nucleotide transfer RNA is filed under the name Bryopsis plumosa. RNAcentral's name for it is "tRNA-Gly". It matches the Rfam family "tRNA". From Rfam's summary of the family: Transfer RNA (tRNA) molecules are approximately 80 nucleotides in length. Lineage: Eukaryota; Viridiplantae; Chlorophyta; Ulvophyceae; Bryopsidales; Bryopsidaceae. RNAcentral also lists the same sequence under 1 other name. The record is from RNAcentral.
GCAAUACUAGUGUAAUGGUAGCCCGUCUGAUUGCCAUUCAGAAAGUAGGGGUUCGAUUCCCCUGUAUUGCU